AGCAGUCGCCGCGGUAAUACGGAGGGUGCAAGCGUUAAUCGGAAUUACUGGGCGUAAAGCGCACGCAGGCGGUCUGACAAGUCAGAUGUGAAAUCCCCGGGCUUAACCUGGGAACUGCAUUUGAAACUGUCAGGCUGGAGUCUUGUAGAGGGGGGUAGAAUUCCAGGUGUAGCGGUGAAAUGCGUAGAGAUCUGGAGGAAUACCGGUGGCGAAGGCGGCCCCCUGGACAAAGACUGACGCUCAGGUGCGAAAGCGUGGGGAGCAAACAGGAUUAGAUACCCCUGUAGUCCCUGUCUCUUAUAA
This 303-nucleotide ribosomal RNA is filed under the name uncultured bacterium. Its description in RNAcentral is "partial 16S ribosomal RNA". It matches the Rfam family "Bacterial small subunit ribosomal RNA", at positions 507 to 809 of the family's 1533-position model. The record is from RNAcentral.